GACGAACGCUGGCGGGGUGCUUAACACAUGCAAGUCGAACGGAAAGGCCCUGCUUUUGUGGGGUGCUCGAGUGGCGAACGGGUGAAUAACACGUGAGUAACCUGCCCUUGACUUUGGGAUAACUUCAGGAAACUGGGGCUAAUACCGGAUAGGAGCUCCUGCUGCAUGGUGGGGGUUGGAAAGUUUCGGCGGUUGGGGAUGGACUCGCGGCUUAUCAGCUUGUUGGUGGGGUAGUGGCUUACCAAGGCUUUGACGGGUAGCCGGCCUGAGAGGGUGACCGGCCACAUUGGGACUGAGAUACGGCCCAGACUCCUACGGGAGGCAGCAGUGGGGAAUAUUGCACAAUGGGCGGAAGCCUGAUGCAGCAACGCCGCGUGCGGGAUGACGGCCUUCGGGUUGUAAACCGCUUUCGCCUGUGACGAAGCGUGAGUGACGGUAAUGGGUAAAGAAGCACCGGCUAACUACGUG
Molecule: ribosomal RNA, 468 nt
Filed under: uncultured bacterium
Lineage: Bacteria
Description: partial 16S ribosomal RNA
Rfam family: Bacterial small subunit ribosomal RNA
Source: RNAcentral